GCUGGGAUGGCAGAGCGGUCUAAUGCGCAGGUUUGCUAAACCUGUUCCCGCAAGGGAGCCAGGGUUCAAAUCCCUGUCCCAGCG
RNAcentral lists this transfer RNA (84 nucleotides) under archaeon CG_4_10_14_0_2_um_filter_Archaea_38_6. RNAcentral's name for it is "tRNA-Ser". It matches the Rfam family "tRNA". From Rfam's summary of the family: Transfer RNA (tRNA) molecules are approximately 80 nucleotides in length. Their secondary structure includes four short double-helical elements and three loops (D, anti-codon, and T loops). The record is from RNAcentral.